This 446-nucleotide ribosomal RNA is filed under the name uncultured bacterium. RNAcentral's name for it is "partial 16S ribosomal RNA". It matches the Rfam family "Bacterial small subunit ribosomal RNA", at positions 330 to 793 of the family's 1533-position model. The record is from RNAcentral.
ACCAGACUCCUACGGGAGGCAGCAGUGGGGGAUAUUGCACAAUGGGGGGAACCCUGAUGCAGCGACGCCGCGUGGGUGAAGAAGCGCCUCGGCGCGUAAAGCCCUGUCAGCAGGGAAGAAAAUGACGGUACCUGAAGAAGAAGCCCCGGCUAACUACGUGCCAGCAGCCGCGGUAAUACGUAGGGGGCAAGCGUUAUCCGGAUUUACUGGGUGUAAAGGGGGCGCAGACGGCGAUGCAAGCCAGGAGUGAAAGCCCGGGGCCCAACCCCGGGACUGCUCUUGGAACUGCGUGGCUGGAGUGCAGGAGGGGCAGGCGGAAUUCCUGGUGUAGCGGUGAAAUGCGUAGAUAUCAGGAGGAACACCAGUGGCGAAGGCGGCCUGCUGGACGAUGACUGACGCUGAGGCUCGAAAGCGUGGGGAGCAAACAGGAUUAGAUACCCCAGUAC